RNAcentral lists this ribosomal RNA (1227 nucleotides) under Triticum aestivum (bread wheat). Its description in RNAcentral is "partial small subunit ribosomal RNA". The record is from RNAcentral. Lineage: Eukaryota; Viridiplantae; Streptophyta; Magnoliopsida; Poales; Poaceae.
AUGACCUUGAGUCGGAUGAUGGAGAUUGCUACCAAGUACGCCAACGGCGAAGAAGAAGACCGACUCCGAAGCGGCAAGCACAAGCCGAGUCAGUCGGAAAAAGGAAACACCAGUCGGAAACAGAAGCGGAAGGCUGAACCGGCAGCUCCUGGAGAGGCUCUGGCCGUGACUCAAGGAAAGUUUAAGGGGAAACCAAAAGGAUCCUGGAACCCCAAGAAGGUAAAGGAUAAAGAAGGGAACGGCGUGAUGGAUAUGCCGUGCCACAUCCACACGAAGAAAGAUGAAGAGGGGAAUAUCAUUUACCCAAAGUACACCACUCGCCAAUGUCGACUCCUGAUCCAGCAGUUUCAGGGAAAACAGUCUAAGGACAAGGAGGAGUCGGACAAAGCCGAAGACAAAGAGGACAGUGAGGGAGGAUACCCGCAUAUCAACUCCACCCUGAUGAUCUUCGCAGAUGUGGAAAGCAGAAGUCGACUGAAAGUGAUUAACCGAGAGGUUAACAUGGUUGCCCCAGCAAAGGCAAAUUAUCUGAAAUGGUCUCAAACACCCAUCACAUUCGACCAAUCUGAUCACCCGACUCAUAUUGCCACCCCUGGGAGGCAAGCUUUGGUGGUCGAUCCAGUUGUCGAAGGCACUCGACUAACAAAGGUGCUGAUGGACGGUGGAAGUGGGCUGAAUCUGUUAUAUGCAGACACGUUGAAAGGUAUGGGCAUUCCGAUGUCCCGACUGAGCACUAGUAACAUGAGCUUCCAUGUAGUUAUACCAGGGAAGAAGGCCGAGUCACUCGGCCAGAUAGCUUUGGACGUAGUGUUUGGCAAUUCAAAGCAUUUUCGCAAAGAAAAGUUGACGUUUGAGGUCGUGGAUUUUCAAAGUGCAUAUCAUGCCAUUUUGGGGAGACCAGCCUAUGCACGGUUCAUGGCUCGACCAUGUUACGUGUACCUCAAACUGAAGAUGCCUGGUCCCAAAGGAGUGAUCACUGUCACCGGCGAUAGGAAAAAGGCGGAGGAGUGCUUUCAGAAGGGCUCCAAGAUUGUCGAUUCCCAAGUGACAGCGGUCGAGUUCGAAGAAUACAAGCAAAACGCAGAUCCGAGUGACUUGCUGCGAUCCAAGAAGCCCGCCAUAGAGUCUGCAUUCCAGUCGUCCGAUGAGACGAAGCCUGUUCACAUUCACCCGACCGACCCCGAAGCAGCUCCGACCCGCAUCUCCACAACACUCGACCCAAAAUAG